Molecule: ribosomal RNA, 493 nt
Filed under: uncultured soil bacterium
Lineage: Bacteria
Description: bacterial SSU rRNA
Rfam family: Bacterial small subunit ribosomal RNA
Source: RNAcentral
GCUGGCGGCAGGCCUAACACAUGCAAGUCGAGCGGCCGUAGCAAUACGGCAGCGGCAGACGGGAGAGUAACACGUGGGAACGCGCCCUUCGGUUCGGAAUAACUCAGGGAAACUUGAGCUAAUACCGGAUACGCCCUUACGGGGAAAGAUUUAUUGCCGAAGGAACGGCCCGCGUCCGAUUAGCUUGUUGGUGAGGUAAUGGCUCACCAAGGCGACGAUCGGUAGCUGGUCUGAGAGGAUGACCAGCCUCACUGGGACUGAGACACGGCCCAGACUCCUACGGGAGGCAGCAGUGGGGAAUAUUGGACAAUGGGCGCAAGCCUGAUCCAGCCAUGCCGCGUGGAUGAUGAAGGCCUUAGGGUUGUAAAGUCCUUUUAACGGGGAAGAUAAUGACGGUACCCGUAGAAUAAGCCCCGGCUAACUUCGUGCCAGCAGCCGCGGUAAUACGAAGGGGGCUAGCGUUGCUCGGAAUUACUGGGCGUAAAGCGCACGU